CUCCUACGGGAGGCUGCAGUGAGGAAUAUUGGUCAAUGGACGCAAGUCUGAACCAGCCAUGCCGCGUGAAGGAUGAAGGCCUUCUGGGUUUGUAAACGUUCUUUUAAUGUAGGGAAGAAACCCUAUUUUCCUAAUUAGGGUUGACGGUACCUUAGGAAUAAGCACCGGCUAACUCCGUGCCAGCAGCCGCGGUAAAC
This 197-nucleotide ribosomal RNA is filed under the name uncultured bacterium. Its description in RNAcentral is "partial 16S ribosomal RNA". It matches the Rfam family "Bacterial small subunit ribosomal RNA", at positions 336 to 525 of the family's 1533-position model. The record is from RNAcentral.